This 449-nucleotide ribosomal RNA is filed under the name uncultured Skermanella sp. Its description in RNAcentral is "bacterial SSU rRNA". It matches the Rfam family "Bacterial small subunit ribosomal RNA", at positions 339 to 805 of the family's 1533-position model. The record is from RNAcentral. Lineage: Bacteria; Pseudomonadati; Pseudomonadota; Alphaproteobacteria; Rhodospirillales; Azospirillaceae.
CUACGGGAGGCAGCAGUGGGGAAUAUUGGACAAUGGGCGCAAGCCUGAUCCAGCAAUGCCGCGUGAGUGAUGAAGGCCUUCGGGUUGUAAAGCUCUUUCGCACGCGACGAUGAUGACGGUAGCGUGAGAAGAAGCCCCGGCUAACUUCGUGCCAGCAGCCGCGGUAAUACGAAGGGGGCUAGCGUUGUUCGGAAUUACUGGGCGUAAAGGGCGCGUAGGCGGUACUUCAAGUCAGGCGUGAAAGCCCCGGGCUCAACCUGGGAACCGCGCUUGAGACUGGAGAACUCGAGUUCGGGAGAGGAUGGUGGAAUUCCCAGUGUAGAGGUGAAAUUCGUAGAUAUUGGGAAGAACACCGAUGGCGAAGGCAGCCAUCUGGACCGACACUGACGCUGAGGCGCGAAAGCGUGGGGAGCAAACAGGAUUAGAUACCCUGGUAGUCCACGCCGUAA